UACGAGGGGUGCAAGCGUUGCUCGGAAUUAUUGGGCGUAAAGGGUAGGUAGGUGGUCUGAUUUGUCAGGGGUGAAAGCCUUGGGCUUAACCCAAGAAGUGCCCCUGAAACGGUCAGACUGGAGUCUUGGAGAGGGUCGUGGAAUUCCCGGUGUAGCGGUGAAAUGCGUAGAGAUCGGGAGGAACACCAGAGGCGAAGGCGGCGACCUGGACAAGUACUGACACUCAACUACGAAAGCGUGGGUAGCAAACAGG
Molecule: ribosomal RNA, 253 nt
Filed under: uncultured bacterium
Lineage: Bacteria
Description: partial 16S ribosomal RNA
Rfam family: Bacterial small subunit ribosomal RNA
Source: RNAcentral